AGAAGCUGUAAAUUGCCAAAAAAAUGUACAAGCAUCAAAGCACAAAGUGCAAAAGCAAGUCUUUAGCAACAACAAGAGAAAAAAAUAACCUAAGUAAAACCACCCAGGCAAUUUCACUUGAACUUUAUCAAAGACUGUAAAUUUCCAGAGCAAGGUACAACCGUCGACCACGAGGUACAAUGGCACAAGUUUUUCAGCCAUUAAAAGUACAAAAAAAAUUAAAAAGAAAAUACAAUUGGUUUCCAUAUACUUACAUGGAGAAGUGGGAGAAGAGAAGAGAAGAGUGAGAAAUAUGGAGAAUGGAAGGGGCAUUGAAACGAUGCUAAAAUCAGGGGAAAUUGCUGAAUGGAUAAAGAGGGGUCAUACUGAAUUGUUGACGGAGGAGACAAUUGAGAAUAGAAAAAGAAUUGUGGCGUUGAAGAUUUGGAGUGUAAAGAGGAGCGGCCAUUGAUCAAAAUCUGAAGCACAAUCUCUGCAUUUCGUAGUCUCCAUGAAAGGGAGUGGACUGUUGAGCUUGAAAUGAGU
This 525-nucleotide long non-coding RNA is filed under the name Olea europaea subsp. europaea. The record is from RNAcentral. Lineage: Eukaryota; Viridiplantae; Streptophyta; Magnoliopsida; Lamiales; Oleaceae.